GAUGAACGCUGGCGGCGUGCCUAAUACAUGCAAGUCGAGCGAACAGACGAGGAGCUUGCUCCUUCGACGUUAGCGGCGGACGGGUGAGUAACACGUAGGUACCUACCUAUAAGACUGGGGUAACUUCGGGAAACCGGAGCUAAUACCGGAUAAUAUUUCGAAACGCAUGGUUCGAUAGUGAAAAAUGGCUUUGCUAUCACUUAUAGAUGGACCUGCGCCGUAUUAGCUAGUUGGUAAGGUAACGGCUUACCAAGGCAACGAUACGUAGCCGACCUGAGAGGGUGAUCGGCCACACUGGAACUGAGACACGGUCCAGACUCCUACGGGAGGCAGCAGUAGGGAAUCUUCCGCAAUGGGCGAAAGCCUGACGGAGCAACGCCGCGUGAGUGAUGAAGGUCUUCGGAUCGUAAAACUCUGUUAUUAGGGAAGAACAAACGUGUAAGUAACUGUGCACGUCUUGACGGUACCUAAUCAGAAAGCCACGGCUAACUACGUG
RNAcentral lists this ribosomal RNA (496 nucleotides) under uncultured bacterium. RNAcentral describes it as "partial 16S ribosomal RNA". It matches the Rfam family "Bacterial small subunit ribosomal RNA", at positions 28 to 507 of the family's 1533-position model. The record is from RNAcentral.